RNAcentral lists this long non-coding RNA (975 nucleotides) under Cricetulus griseus (Chinese hamster). Its description in RNAcentral is "lncRNA (ENSCGRG00000025091.1)". Lineage: Eukaryota; Metazoa; Chordata; Mammalia; Rodentia; Cricetidae. The record is from RNAcentral.
AGCCCGGGGGUGCAGAUCCGGCCUGGGCCGGACCACCUUCACCCCUUUGGGGAGCGUGGGGAACGGAGUUCGCUGUACUUUUUCUUGGAGGCGUGGAGGAGUUGUCAGGCCUGGGCCCCUGACCUGGGAUCCACCUUGGGAUUUUCCUGGCAGGGCUCGUGGAUAUUUUCCUUCCACCAUCAGCAUUGAGUACAGCCUAGCGUGGCAUGGCUUCUCUUUUAAACGCGCUGGGAGCAUCCGAAGUGAAUAUUCAUUGAGAAUCUGUACACCAGACACCUGUGUAAACGAGGGAUCCAUUCAAGAACAACCACAAAAACCUCUGCCUCCUGGUUGCAUGCGUGAACUCACAGCAUGUACACACAACAGUGAGCAAACCCAAACCCGACUAAGUCCCAGCAUAGAGUGGGAAGGUGGGACCGAAGUUCUGCACCUGACUGAGGAGCUACUGGUAUUUGAUAACCAAUGGGAGAGGGAAAGUCAGUUUUCUUUAAAUGAUUUGACAAUGAAGGGACCGGCUCCCCUUUUGGCAGUCAUAGCGGCGGAACACGUGCUUGUAUGACCUUGUCCUGGACACUAGAAAGUCAGAUGCCUGCCUCGUGACAAGGAACCAAUCAGAAGUUAGCUGUGGCGCUAUGCUUUACGACCCUGGGUGUACUUUAUGGACAAGCACACAGCAAGCAAUGACGCAAAGCAUAGCAACCACCCUGGGAGGGCCUUUGGGCCAUAACAACCAAUUGGCCAAUCAACACAGGGCAAUCCCUCCAAGGCUGGAGGCAUACCAAUAGUGAGCCUGUGUGUACCCCUAGACACUCCCCUUACGCUGCCCUAUAAGAUCUCAGUCCUGUGGCUUCUCAGAGUCUUUGCUAGCCAUCCGCCAUGGCGGGUGGGUGAAAGACCCGAGCUAACAUGGGGUUAGCUUGUUAAAUUACAAUAAAGCCUCAUGCUGUUUGCAGCAAGCUCUCGAAUCCGCCUGGU